Long non-coding RNA from Stegodyphus dumicola, 4282 nucleotides. The record is from RefSeq and is a predicted model, not a curated record. Lineage: Eukaryota; Metazoa; Arthropoda; Arachnida; Araneae; Eresidae.
UUUGGACUUUUUUAAUUUACAAAAAUCCAUAAAGUGAAAAGCACUAUCCAAAUAUUGAAGUAAACAUAAAAGUUACAUAUUGUCAGACUUUCUCAUAAUUUUAGUUUGCUUUGCUUUGUAUUGUGGCAAUGGUUUAGAACCAUGAUACUCCAGACUUGCCAGAAGGUUCAUUAAAAGGAAAGCCGAAGACUUUAGUAAACCAUAAAAUUAACUUUUAUGUAUUGUACGAAAUUACAUGUUUUACCUUUUUUUUUUUUUUUUAGAUAAAGGUAAAAUAUGAAAUUUCGUAAUGCAUGAUGAUAAGCCAGUGUCAGAUGUCGACCACGAGCAAGCAGGAACAGUGAAGUACAAUCGCAAGUGAGUCUCUCAAUGAAAGUUCAAGUCUUUAUACUCCCGCUAUGACGAGUGGGCACGGGUACAACCCAGCAAACAUGGAUUCUUCAUGCAAAUAUUCCGCUACAAAUAUACUUUGAGUUUACCAAAGCUUACUGCCACUUUAUUUAUACCAGCAACACAGGCAAAUGAGAAAAUUUUGAAGCUGCAGUGUGGCACAAACACAAGUAAAACUUGCAGUGGUAUUUUUAACAUCCACGAACAAUUUAACUUCUGUAACAAGAUCAGCACCUUCAUGACAGACAUGGCUCUAAGGAACUGUACAUAAUUUUUUUGAAAGCAACUCAUUCUCCUGCAGCUAGCAAAAAAGUGCUUUUUUGUGUAAUAUGAACAGAAAUGGGCACUUUGAUACAUUUGUAAAAUUUGAACUUGUAAAUGUAUAGUUUUUAUGUUGGAAGAUAUAUCAUCACAUGCAGAAAUAAGGUUAAUAAGACGCUUGUUUGUGGUUUGUUUAUGUUGUGUAAAUGUGUUGAUUUUAGAAUGAUCUUGUUGAAUUUUUCUUACAUUAUACUGGAAAAUGAUCAUACAAAUAACUUCUUGAUUGUGUGAUCAAGUUUUUAUUAGAAAUUGGUAUCCAAUGGAUGCAUAUUUUCUUCUUGGCAAAAGACUUGUUAUAUCCAUAGUUUUAAUGUGAUAGUAUUUUUAUAUUUUCCCCUUUCUCUUCUAGAAAUUCAGGUAUUUACUUAAAAAUUAUAGCUAUAUAUCAGUUUCUGUAAGUUAAGCUGAAACUUUAAGCUAAAGUUAACUUUUUCUGAUAACAAAAGACCAAGUAUUUAAAUUUCAUGUUAAAAUUAAAUAUAAUUUUUUAACCAGUGAAUAGAAUUUUUCAUUGGUUAAUAAUCAUUGUAUAAAUAUAUUAUAAAGGCAUGAGAGUUUAGAAUGUUAUGUAAUUUAUUCUGCCAUCUUCAACUUCUUGGAAAAUGUUAUAUGCAUAUGUAUGUAAUUCAUUCUGAUGAGCAUUUAAUAUACUUAUACAUUUUAAAGGUUUUCCAGGAAGUUUCACCCUGUAGGGUGUAGUUCUAAAAUUGUUGUUACUCUGAAAAUUAACAUGAUCAGUUAAUUUUUGUCAUCCUAAAAUUAUGGUAAAUUUGUUUGCAGUUUUAAUCCAUUCCUGUUUAGAUACAAAAUUGCUAUUAAAUAAUAGUAUGACUGUAAUUAUAAAUAAAGCAACUGAAGUUAAGUAUCAAGUUAUUAUCAAAAUGUGUAUAAAUAAUAAUUGAUACUUUCUGUAAUUUGAAAUCAUAAACAUUAUUUUUCUUAUCUCAUUAUGAAAAUAUUUAAAAUUUUCUUUUAGAUUUGCUUGGUAAAUUGAUUUCGUAUUUGAAGAGGACAAAAAGAAUGAUUUUUAGUGAUUUUCUUUGAUUUUUAAAAUUAUUAAAAUAUUUUUCAUAUUUUUUUGACACUGAAUAACCACAUGUAUUUGCUUGUUAAGUCUAAGCUUGUGCAUGUCAUUUGUAAUCAGUCUCAUCGUAUUAAACAUAAAAUAUGUGCUUCUAUUCAUUUAAAAGGAGUAUGUUUGUCAUUUAUAUCACUUUUCCUACCUUUAGAUUUUUUUAGCAUGUACAUUUCAUCUUGUUACUCUGUCAUUAAGUUAUGACCAAUGUAAAAGCAAAUAUAUUUCUUCCAAACUUUAAUUUUUGAUAUGUAAGAUUUUCGUCAGCUUAGGUAACUUUUGCAUGUUAUUAGAUUUUUUUUGGUAGAGGAGUCGUGGACAAAAAAAAAAAAAAAAAAAAAAAAAAAAACAUAAUAGAAGAAAAAUAUUUUUUGUGUGUAUUUUGGUGAAUAAAUAUAAUAUUAAAAAGCAUGUAAGAAAUUUUAAGCAUCUGAGUUUCUAUGUAUUUGAGCUCCAUUAAAAUUAUUACCUUUAAAAACAAAUUAAUCUUACCUUCAAAUAUUUAAAAAUGCUCCCACUUAGGUAAUUUAUAUUGUCUGCUCAUUUAAGAUACAGCAACCAUUUUGUUAAUAAACUGGGCAUUAAUUGUAAAAAUGUUUCCUUAAAUGACAUUUUGUAAAUCCCUGCCUAAUUUACUUAUCAUUUAAUUUUUAUCACUUAAUUUAGUUCCCAAGCAAAAAUGGUUCAUAGAACAACUUAGCCUCCAUAAAUGAUUAAUGUAAUAGAUUACUCAGAGUUUAAAAUAAAUGUGAUUAGAAAGCCAGUUUGCAUUUCAAAUUUCCAUAAAAAAUUGUUCUUCGUGUUUAAUUUUUUAUUUUUGCAACCUUUUUGUGAUCUGUAACAAUUUUAUGCACAUAAAAGAGAGUCAAAUUUUAUUAUUUUAUUUUGGUUUCAGUAUAAAUCUAUAUCAUUAAUAAUAUAUUAAUUUGUAAAAAAGAACUGAAAGUAAAGUGAGUGAAAAGGCAGUGAAAUGAUUGUCUAUUCCAGAUGGUGGCACUUAAAAUUACAGAGGAAUAUUUGAUUGUAUGAAGAAUGUGGUAUUUUCUUUGUGACUGUAUUUAUCAGUUUUGUUAUUAUUUUUGAGUUACUUAUGUGAUUGAAGUACUCAUAUUGUUUUCACUGAAUUUCUCUAUACUUGAAAUGUAAUAUUAAAGCUCAAUGGCUUUAUCCUGGAAAAGUGUAAUUAUAAGUUGUUGUUGUUUAUCUGAUAAAUAUUUUUAAAAACAUGUGCUUGCUGCUGAUAAAGUAUGACUCAUUAAUCCUAAAAUUAGAGUGGAAAUUUUAGUUCCUGUUUUGAAGUUUCAAAUAAGUAUACUCCGAUCUUAUUUAUAGCGUGUGUUUCAAAUCCUAUGGAAACAAUGGUGCUCAGAAUGUUUUAUUUGUGUGUACCUUCAACAUUAUUUAUUUCAUUAUCAGAGAGUGCAUUUGUUAUGUUUGCAUAAGGGCGUGUACUUAUGUGUUUUUAAUUUUUUUAAUGCAGGCUUCCUGUUGUUUAAAUGGUAAUCUGCUUCAUUGCAGUUGUUUGGUAUAUUUAUUUACAGCACAGGUUUGUUUUGUAUAUCUGUGAUAGAUUCCUUUUUGAUGAAUUUUUUUUAAUAAAACAGUUGCAAUUAAUUAAACUUUGAGUGUGAAGAAAAGUAAAAUAGAUAAUUUCCUUUCAAUAAGUGGAAUUUUUUUUUUUUUUUAAAUUUAUGUUAGAUAUGUGUUUCAAUCAAAUUAAGCUCAAUAACUCAUUUAAGUAAGAAUUUUGCAUUAUAUUACAUGAGCUUAUUUAUUAAUCUUCAUUUAUUGUGCCAAAGAGAGCAGUGAUUCCCUGGCCCUUUAAAUACUGUAUUCAUUCCACAUACCAGAUUGAAUUGAAAAUUUAGGUGAUAAUUUUUUAAAUGUUAUUUCACCCUUAUAUUUUAGAUAUGUUAAUUGAUAUCUCAAAUUAUAUUAAUUUGAAGGCAUAUAUCUUAAAUAUUGUCCCCAUUAUGUUUCUUCAAAAAUUAUUUGAUUACCUUUCUUUUAAAUUUUAAGAUAAUUCAAGUUUUAAUUCAUGCAUUAGGGAUUUGUGAAAAAUCAUAAAAUAUAUAUGAUUUAUGUUCAUUCUUUACAAAAUAAUAGCAAGAAAAAUACUGGAAUUGUAUUCUGUUUUAUGUAUUAAAACUUAACUGUGUCAUCUGGAUUUUAUUUCUAAGGUUUUUCACCUACAGAACAAUAUAUUAAGAUUCCAAUUGUUGUUUUUUGAUAUAGAAGCACAAUAUUCAUAAUUUUAAGUAAUUAACAGCCGACAAUUACUGUGCACAAUCAAAGUUGUGAAUUCUCUGCUGAUGAUGAUGGUAUGUGUAAACAGCCAAGUAUGAAAGUGUAGACACAGUUGUAAAAAUUUUAUUUAUGCCAGAACUUUCAUUGGCAAUAUAUGUAUAUUAUGUAAAUAUUGUACAUUUAGUGUAACAUUGUUUGUUGUAGUUCAUCAUAAUCAUGAUAAUUCAUAAUAAAAGUUGGUUCAAAGGA